GCCGAAGUGGCGGAACUAGGUAGACGCGCUGGAUUCAAAAUCCAGUGGUGGCAACACCAUGUGGGUUCGAUUCCCACCUUCGGCACCA
RNAcentral lists this transfer RNA (88 nucleotides) under Patescibacteria group bacterium. RNAcentral describes it as "tRNA-Leu". It matches the Rfam family "tRNA". Rfam says of the family: Transfer RNA (tRNA) molecules are approximately 80 nucleotides in length. Their secondary structure includes four short double-helical elements and three loops (D, anti-codon, and T loops). Further hydrogen bonds mediate the characteristic L-shaped molecular structure. tRNAs have two regions of fundamental functional importance: the anti-codon, which is responsible for specific mRNA codon recognition, and the 3' end, to which the tRNAs corresponding amino acid is attached (by aminoacyl-tRNA synthetases). tRNAs cope with the degeneracy of the genetic code in two manners: having more than one tRNA (with a specific anti-codon) for a particular amino acid; and 'wobble' base-pairing, i.e. permitting non-standard base-pairing at the 3rd anti-codon position. The record is from RNAcentral. RNAcentral also lists the same sequence under 1 other name.